UCAAGCGAACAAGUGCAUGUGGUGGAUGCCUUGGCGAUUACAGGCGAUGAAGGACGCGGUAGCCUGCGAAAAGCUUCGGGGAGCUGGCAAACGAGCUUUGAUCCGGAGAUGUCCGAAUGGGGAAACCCGGCCCGAAUGGGUCAUCCCUGACUGAAUACAUAGGUCAGGGAAGCGAACGCGGCGAACUGAAACAUCUAAGUAGCUGCAGGAACAGAAAUCAACCGAGAUUCCCAAAGUAGUGGCGAACGAAAUGGGAAGAGCCUUGUACUCUUUAGCAGCAUUGUUAGCAGAACGGGAUGGAAAGCCCGGCCAUAGCAGGUGAUAGCCCUGUAUGCGAAAACAGCGUUGUGGAACUAGGUGUACGACAAGUAGGGCGGGACACGUGAAAUCCUGUCUGAAGAUGGGGGGACCAUCCUCCAAGGCUAAAUACUCGUAAUCGACCGAUAGUGAACCAGUACCGUGAGGGAAAGGCGAAAAGAACCCCGGGAGGGGAGUGAAAUAGAUCCUGAAACCGCAUGCAUACAAACAGUCGGAGCCUGGAAACGGGUGACGGCGUACCUUUUGUAUAAUGGGUCAGCGACUUACAUUCAGUGGCAAGCUUAACCGAUUAGGGAAGGCGUAGCGAAAGCGAGUCCGAAUAGGGCGUUGAGUCGCUGGGUGUAGACCCGAAACCAGAUGAUCUAUCCAUGGCCAGGUUGAAGGUGCGGUAACACGUACUGGAGGACCGAACCCACUAACGUUGAAAAGUUAGGGGAUGAGCUGUGGAUAGGGGUGAAAGGCUAAACAAAUCUGGAAAUAGCUGGUUCUCUCCGAAAACUAUUUAGGUAGUGCCUCGUGUCUCACCUUCGGGGGUAGAGCACUGUCAUGGUUGGGGGGUCUAUUGCUGAUUACCCCGCCAUAGCAAACUCCGAAUACCGAAGAGUGCAAUCACGGGAGACAGACAUCGGGUGCUAACGUCCGGUGUCAAGAGGGAAACAACCCAGACCGCCAGCUAAGGUCCCAAAGAUUGGCUAAGUGGGAAACGAAGUGGGAAGGCUAAAACAGUCAGGAGGUUGGCUUAGAAGCAGCCACCCUUUAAAGAAAGCGUAAUAGCUCACUGAUCGAGUCGUCCUGCGCGGAAGAUGUAACGGGGCUAAGCCAGUCACCGAAGCUGCGGACGCACGCAAGUGCGUGGUAGGAGAGCGUUCUGUAAGCCUGUGAAGGUGUCUUGUAAAGGAUGCUGGAGGUAUCAGAAGUGCGAAUGCUGACAUGAGUAGCGAUAAAGGGGGUGAAAGGCCCCCUCGCCGUAAGCCCAAGGUUUCCUACGCAACGUUCAUCGGCGUAGGGUGAGUCGGCCCCUAAGGCGAGGCAGAGAUGCGUAGCUGAUGGGAAGCAGGUUAAUAUUCCUGCACCGUCGUAUGAUGCGAUGGGGGGACGGAUCGCGGAAGGUUGUCCGGGUGUUGGAAGUCCCGGUCCCUGCAUUGGAGAAGGCGCUUAGGCAAAUCCGGGCGCGGAAUUCAAGGAUGUGGGGCGAGCGGCCUAGUGCUGCGAAGCAAUUGGAAGUGGUUCCAAGAAAAGCCUCUAAGCUUCAGUCAUACGAGACCGUACCGCAAACCGACACAGGUGGGCGAGAUGAGUAUUCUAAGGCGCUUGAGAGAACUCGGGAGAAGGAACUCGGCAAAUUGGUACCGUAACUUCGGGAUAAGGUACGCCCUUGUAGCUUGACUGGCCUGCGCCAGGAGGGUGAAGGGGUUGCAAUAAAAUGGUGGCUGCGACUGUUUAAUAAAAACACAGCACUCUGCAAACACGAAAGUGGACGUAUAGGGUGUGACGCCUGCCCGGUGCCGGAAGAUUAAAUGAUGGGGUGCAAGCUCUUGAUUGAAGUCCCGGUAAACGGCGGCCGUAACUAUAACGGUCCUAAGGUAGCGAAAUUCCUUGUCGGGUAAGUUCCGACCUGCACGAAUGGCGUAACGAUGGCCACACUGUCUCCUCCCGAGACUCAGCGAAGUUGAAGUGUUUGUGAUGAUGCAAUCUCCCCGCGGCUAGACGGAAAGACCCCAUGAACCUUUACUGUAGCUUUGCAUUGGACUUUGAACCGAUCUGUGUAGGAUAGGUGGGAGGCUUUGAAGCGUGGACGCUAGUUCACGUGGAGCCGUCCUUGAAAUACCACCCUGGUUUGUUUGAGGUUCUAACCUUGGCCCGUGAAUCCGGGUCGGGGACAGUGCAUGGUAGGCAGUUUGACUGGGGCGGUCUCCUCCCAAAGUGUAACGGAGGAGUUCGAAGGUACGCUUGGUACGGUCGGACAUCGUACCUAAAGUGCAAUGGCAAAAGCGUGCUUAACUGCGAGACUGACAAGUCGAGCAGGUGCGAAAGCAGGACAUAGUGAUCCGGUGGUUCUGAAUGGAAGGGCCAUCGCUCAACGGAUAAAAGGUACUCUGGGGAUAACAGGCUGAUACCGCCCAAGAGUUCAUAUCGACGGCGGUGUUUGGCACCUCGAUGUCGGCUCAUCUCAUCCUGGGGCUGUAGCCGGUCCCAAGGGUAUGGCUGUUCGCCAUUUAAAGAGGUACGUGAGCUGGGUUUAAAACGUCGUGAGACAGUUUGGUCCCUAUCUGCCGUGGGCGUUGGAAUCUUGACGGGGGCUGCUCCUAGUACGAGAGGACCGGAGUGGACGUACCGCUGGUGUACCUGUUGUCUCGCCAGAGGCAUCGCAGGGUAGCUAUGUACGGAAGAGAUAACCGCUGAAAGCAUCUAAGCGGGAAACUCGCCUGAAGAUGAGGAUUCCCUGGAGGCUUGACCUCCUUGAAGGGUCGUUCGAGACCAGGACGUUGAUAGGCUGGGUGUGGAAGCGCAGUAAUGCGUUAAGCUAACCAGUACUAAUUGCCCGUAAGGCUUGAUCCU
This 2877-nucleotide ribosomal RNA is filed under the name Cupriavidus metallidurans. Its description in RNAcentral is "bacterial LSU rRNA". It matches the Rfam family "Bacterial large subunit ribosomal RNA". The record is from RNAcentral. Lineage: Bacteria; Pseudomonadati; Pseudomonadota; Betaproteobacteria; Burkholderiales; Burkholderiaceae.